GAUGAACGCUGGCGGCGUGCCUAAUACAUGCAAGUCGAGCGAACGGACGAGAAGCUUGCUUUUCUGAUGUUAGCGGCGGGCGGGUGAGUAACACGUGGAUAACCUACCUAUAAGACUGGGAUAACUUCGGGAAACCGGAGCUAAUACCGGAUAAUAUUUUGAACCGCAUGGUUCAAAAGUGAAAGACGGUCUUGCUAUCACUUAUAGAUGGAUCCGCGCUGCAUUAGCUAGUUGGUAAGGUAACGGCUUACCAAGGCAACGAUGCAUAGCCGACCUGAGAGGGUGAUCGGCCACACUGGAACUGAGACACGGUCCAGACUCCUACGGGAGGCAGCAGUAGGGAAUCUUCCGCAAUGGGCGAAAGCCUGACGGAGCAACGCCGCGUGAGUGAUGAAGGUCUUCGGAUCGUAAAACUCUGUUAUUAGGGAAGAACAUAUGUGUAAGUAACUGUGCACAUCUUGACGGUACCUAAUCAGAAAGCCACGGCUAACUACGUG
This 497-nucleotide ribosomal RNA is filed under the name uncultured bacterium. RNAcentral describes it as "partial 16S ribosomal RNA". It matches the Rfam family "Bacterial small subunit ribosomal RNA", at positions 28 to 507 of the family's 1533-position model. The record is from RNAcentral.